UUGACCUCAAAUCAGGUAGGACUACCCGCUGAACUUAAGCAUAUCAAUAAGCGGAGGAAAAGAAACUAACAAGGAUUCCCCUAGUAACUGCGAGUGAAGCGGGAAAAGCUCAAAUUUGAAAUCUGGCAGUCUUUUUUUUCUUGUUUGGCUGUCCGAG
Molecule: ribosomal RNA, 157 nt
Filed under: Amanita sp. 'adventicometa'
Lineage: Eukaryota; Fungi; Basidiomycota; Agaricomycetes; Agaricales; Amanitaceae
Description: partial 28S ribosomal RNA
Rfam family: Eukaryotic large subunit ribosomal RNA
Source: RNAcentral